This 1195-nucleotide ribosomal RNA is filed under the name Nacolus tuberculatus. RNAcentral's name for it is "16S ribosomal RNA". The stretch from base 944 to 1102 matches the Rfam family "Archaeal large subunit ribosomal RNA", at positions 2544 to 2703 of the family's 2987-position model. Lineage: Eukaryota; Metazoa; Arthropoda; Insecta; Hemiptera; Cicadellidae. The record is from RNAcentral.
UUUCAUGAGUUUUUUUUUUUUUUUUUUUUUUUUUUUUUUUUUUUUUUUUUUUUUUUUUUUUUUUUUUUUUUUUUUUUUUUUUUUUUUUUUUUUUUUUUUUUUUUUUUUUUUUUUUUUUUUUUUUUUUUUUUUUAUUUUUUUUUUUUUUUUUUUUUUUUUUUAUUUUUUUUUUUUUUUUUUUUUUUUUUUUUUAUAAAAUUUAUUAAUUAAUUUAUAGUAGUUAUAUUCUAUUCGUUAUUUUUUUUAUCUGGUUAUUCAGGAAUAAAUUUAAUUUUGGUUAUUUUGUUUUUUUUAUUUUUAUAUUUUUUAUUUACUUAUUUCAUAAGGGAUAAUCUUUAUGUUUUUUUAUAAUUUUUUUUUAUUAAUUUUUAUUAUUUUUAGUAUUUUGUUUUUAGUUUUUAAUAAAUUAGAUUUAUUUUUUAUUAUUUAUUUUUAUUUAUUUUUUUUACUGAUAUUUAUUUAAUUAUUAUUUUUUUAUUUUUGUUAAUGAUUUAAUUAGUAUAAUUUUUUUUUUUUGAUUAUUGAACUCGACAAAUAUAAUUCUCAACUGUUUAUCAAAAACAUUUCUUUUAGUUUUAUUAUUAAAGGUAAUUUCUGCUCUAUGAAUAUUUUUAAAUGGCCGCGGUAUAUUGACCGUGCAAAGGUAGCGUAAUAAUUAUUUCCUUAAUUAGGAACUUGUAUGAAUGAAUAUAUGAGGGAUUUUUUUUAUUAUUUAAAAUUUUUAUAAUUUAACUUUUGAGUUAAAAGGCUUAAUUGAUUUAUUGGGACGAUAAGACCCUAUAGAACUUUAAAUUUAAGUUAUUUGUUUUUUUAUUGUUUAUUAUGCUUUAUUUAUUUUUUUAGUUGGGGUGAUUAUUAAAUUUAAUCUUUAGUUUUUUCUUUCAUAAAAUUUAUGUUUUUUUUGAUCUUUUAUGUUUUGAUUUUAAGAAAUAGUUACCUUAGGGAUAACAGCGUAAUUUUAGUGGGGAGUUCUUAUUUAUACUAAAGUUUUCGACCUCGAUGUUGAAUUAAGAUAAAGCUGUGGGGUAGGUUUUUCAGUUUUAAGUCUGUUCGACUUUUUAAUUCUUACAUGAUUUGAGUUCAAACCGGCGUGAGCCAGGUUGGUUUCUAUCUAAUAAUUUUUUAAAUUUAAUAGUACGAAAGGACCUUAAGUUUUUAGUUUUUAUUAUUUAUACUGUUUACUAUUAAUUUACUU